RNAcentral lists this ribosomal RNA (552 nucleotides) under uncultured bacterium. Its description in RNAcentral is "partial 16S ribosomal RNA". It matches the Rfam family "Bacterial small subunit ribosomal RNA", at positions 356 to 902 of the family's 1533-position model. The record is from RNAcentral.
UGGGAAUUUUGGACAAUGGGCGAAAGCCUGAUCCAGCAAUGCCGCGUGUGUGAAGAAGGCCUUCGGGUUGUAAAGCACUUUUGUCCGGAAAGAAAUCCUUGGCUCUAAUACAGUCGGGGGAUGACGGUACCGGAAGAAUAAGCACCGGCUAACUACGUGCCAGCAGCCGCGGUAAUACGUAGGGUGCAAGCGUUAAUCGGAAUUACUGGGCGUAAAGCGUGCGCAGGCGGUUUGCUAAGACCGAUGUGAAAUCCCCGGGCUCAACCUGGGAACUGCAUUGGUGACUGGCAGGCUAGAGUAUGGCAGAGGGGGGUAGAAUUCCACGUGUAGCAGUGAAAUGCGUAGAGAUGUGGAGGAAUACCGAUGGCGAAGGCAGCCCCCUGGGCAAUACUGACGCUCAUGCACGAAAGCGUGGGGAGCAAACAGGAUUAGAUACCCUGGUAGUCCACGCCCUAAACGAUGUCAACUAGUUGUUGGGGAUUCAUUUCCUUAGUAACGUAGCUAACGCGUGAAGUUGACCGCCUGGGGAGUACGGUCGCAAGAUUAAAACUC